AGAGUUUGAUCAUGGCUCAGGACGAACGCUGGCGGCGUGCUUAACACAUGCAAGUCGAGCGAUGAAACUUCUUCGGAAGUGGAUUAGCGGCGGACGGGUGAGUAACACGUGGGCAACCUGCCCUAUAGAGGGGAAUAGCCUUCCGAAAGGAAGAUUAAUACCCCAUAAGAUUGUAGUUUCACAUGGAACAGCAAUUAAAGGAGCAAUCCGCUAUAGGAUGGGCCCGCGGCGCAUUAGCUAGUUGGUGAGGUAACGGCUCACCAAGGCGACGAUGCGUAGCCGACCUGAGAGGGUGAUCGGCCACAUUGGGAUUGAGACACGGCCCAGACUCCUACGGGAGGCAGCAGUGGGGAAUAUUGCACAAUGGGGGAAACCCUGAUGCAGCAACGCCGUGUGAGUGAUGAAGGCCUUCGGGUUGUAAAGCUCUGUCUUUGGGGACGAUAAUGACGGUACCCAAGGAGGAAGCCACGGCUAACUACGUGCCAGCAGCCGCGGUAAUACGUAGGUGGCAAGCGUUGUCCGGAUUUACUGGCGUAAAGGGAGCGUAGGCGGACUUUUAAGUGAUGUGAAAUACUCGGGCUCAACCUGAGUGCUGCAUUCCAAACUGGAAGUCUAGAGUGCAGGAGGGGAAAGUGGAAUUUCCUAGUGUAGCGGUGAAAUGCGUAGAGAUUAGAAGAAUACCAGUGGCGAAAGGCGACUUUUCUGGACUGUAACUGACACUGAGCUCGAAAGCGUGGGGAGCAAACAGGAUUAGAUACCCUGGUAGUCCACGCCGUAACGAUGAUACUAGUGUGG
Molecule: ribosomal RNA, 795 nt
Filed under: uncultured bacterium
Lineage: Bacteria
Description: bacterial SSU rRNA
Rfam family: Bacterial small subunit ribosomal RNA
Source: RNAcentral